Long non-coding RNA from Rhincodon typus (whale shark), 8873 nucleotides. RefSeq lists it as uncharacterized. Lineage: Eukaryota; Metazoa; Chordata; Chondrichthyes; Orectolobiformes; Rhincodontidae. The record is from RefSeq and is a predicted model, not a curated record. The transcript has 3 exons.
CCAACCUGCACUCAUCUAUCACCAUCCGAACUACCUUCUCCAGCCCCACCCCUCCUCUCUCUAUUUAUUUCUGAGCUCCCCGCCACCUCCACAUUUCUGAAGAAGAGUCCUGACCCAAAACAUCAACUUUCCUGCUCUUCUGAUGCUGCCUGGCCUGCUGUGUUCCUCCAGCUCCACACUUUGUUAUCUCUGACUCCAGCAUUUGCAGUUCUUGCUAUCUCUGAUGGACCCUACACGACACCUGGCACACCCCCAGCUAAUCGUUCCUUUGUGGGAAUAGGACCAAGGGAUCCUGGCAGCCUUUAUCAGCCACAGUCCUGGUAUCUGGGAUAGUUGAAGUCCCCUUUCAAGUAUUACAGAAGCUAUUUAAUCAUGUUUCCAGAAACAUGGUCGAGCGUCAACUUUGGUUUCAAGUUUAAAACAGAGAGAAACAAGGGAGAAGACUAUUUAUCGACUCGCCUUUAAAAGAAAAUGAAAAGUCAGAAACACUAUCAUCCUACCAACAUGUUCCGAAGAUGGGUGCAAUUCACUUCUUCCAUUGGCUGAAGCUUAGCCUGAGGUUUCCCCAUCUGUUUUAUGCAAAUAAGCCUUUAUACUUCUUAAAAAAAAAUUCAGAACAAAGUUUACUAAAUCUGCUUUCGAAAGGGUGGGAAAAUUAACAUUCAUCAAUCAAACAUAAUUCAAAGUUACAUUAUGGUUUUCUUUUGAUUUCUCCUUUUAAAAGAGUAAAGAUAGCAUUAUUUACACAAAGGAUGGAUGCGCAGUAUUGUGCAUAAUCAUUUAGAAGUCAUCCAAACUUAGCCUUCAAGUGCUGAAAUGCACAGAAUGAGUGUAUCUGUGCAUUGGAAUACCUGAGGUCGAUUAAAAGUUAUCACAGUUUAAGACAAUUCUUCACAUUUAUUUAAAUCAUUCUUGAUUAUAAUCAUUGUGAACAGUCUUUGUUUACUAACUUUAUUGCAAAGUUCUAAACAUCACAAAAACAUGCACUAAUGAAGCCUACACAUUGGAGACCAUCACUUCAAUACGGCUAAUUCAUUAGCUUGACAUCAAGUUAUUUUCCUUGUUUCUAUUUCAGACAUUUGGGCAAGCUAAACAUAAGAAAGGAUAUUUUUCUACUACACAAAUAAAUGUGUUUAAUGCAAUGAUAAAAAAAUCAAUCAAUUGUUCAGACUGACAUAUUUAAAAUUAGACAGUUCCUUGGUACCAACGUUGCAGGUCAAAUUAACCAGGGCGAUAUUUCCUAGUCCAAACCUGUCAAUUACUGGGAACAUCAUGAAGCAAAUUCUGUUUUGUUGCCUAUAAACUAAAGAAGAUAAUGAAUAGAUUCAGUGUUAGAAACAUCCUGCACCACAGGUUGGUCGGUGAAUGAUUUAAUUUGCCUAAAACUUUAAACACAUUUUCAGAAUUAUUUAACCACAGCAUCCAUAAAGCAAACCAUUCAGUAAUGUUGCUACUAUUUCUCAAUUACAAUUUUCCCACCCUACUUAGUUUUUGCAUGUAGCUAAUAGCACAGAUGCAGAUGCUCAUCUACCAGAGCAGUAGUUUUAUCGGUUUAGUUAUUAUCGCUUCUUCACUAAUGCAUGCCAUACACCAUAAAAUACAUACCUAGCUUUUGUUGAUAGUAUUGGGAGGCAAAGGGUGGCUGCAGAUUGAGUGUGGGGAAGUUCUUCAUACACAAUGCAAGUGCAAGGCCUCACGCUAGCAUACAUACUUUACCUUUCCCUCCUGGCUACAGGUUGCAUUUAUUUUCAAAAUUAAACAUACAAAUAGCUGCAAACUCAGAGUAUCUUUAGCUUAGUGGAAUACAUUUUGGGAGCAGGGUAGAAAAUUGUUUCAAGAUCAAUAUUUUUGUGUUUUUUUUAAUUGUAAAGUUAAACACAAUGUAUUCAGCCCUCCGCCCCUCCCCAGGUAAUCACACCUUUCUGCCAGUAGCUUAUUUCACAAAAGAACAGAAGCAGAAUUGAGCAAGGUCUAACUUGGUUUCAAAUUCAUUCUUGGGAAGCUAACGUCCAAUCAGUAAUCAACUUUAGGUUGGGGAAAUAAAGGAAGUGGUUGCUUUUAAAGGAACAGGUUAACUGCCUGUUUAAGCAAAGACAAAAAAAAAAUCUUUUGAAAAGAUUUAAGAGGCAAGUGCAAUUGAAAGGAAACAAUUUUGUAUCUUAGUGAUUCUUUGUAACUUGUCCUUGUACCCCAGGACUGUAAACAGGGGAAAAUUGUCGCUAGGCGACUGUGGCACAAAAGUGCACCCAAACCCCUUCCCCCACCCACCUUUCACAGGUGAACACAAAUGCCUUAGUCAGUAUGUUACUUGUUUUUUUUAAAUCAGAGGGUAGCCAGCUGCACUGUCAUAAAAUUAAAAAGACAGCACUUGUGCACAGAAUAUCAUUCGUUAAACUGACACAUAUCGAAAGCAAUAUUUGGCAUAAUUUAGUUCUGUUCACAACUGAACGUUUUUGACAAAAGUAGCUUGCAUCUGAACAAAUUUCUGUCCGUGUAAGCUUAUAUUUCUUGGUUAGGUACAGCUUUCCCUGAGCUAAAUGCUGGCAUCCAAACCUCACGAGUGUAAACAGCAACAGUGAGGCAAACUCUAAACGUAUUUAUAUUGACAUUUUUUUUCAUCAAAGGUGCUGAGUUAUGCAUGGUGCUUUGAUAGUAAACUUUGUGAUCCAGCAAAAAAAGAUCAGCUGAAUUGCUGAAUUCUGACGUGCAUGGCAACUAUGUGCGGGCUUCACUCUUUUCCCUACAAAAUCCUUUCCUAAUUUGCACGGAAUUUUAUACCACAUUAUGUGCCUUGCCUUUGAGAAAAAAUGUUUAAAAAAUCGUUGGUAUCACUGCACAAUCUUUUGGCUGCAUGUAUGGUUGCUUGUCAUUAAAAAAAAAUUGCCAUUGGUAAAAAUGUAAGGGUUUAUGAUUUUUGCUUCAUAGGACAUUGUAACAGCACUAAUUAUCAGUAUUCCAGUGAUUCUGUGGACUUUCGUAUAGAAUAUAUUCAUCUUGCGGUCAUGUAGGAACAUUGCUUUUGGACGUUAUUUGUCACUAAUACUUUAAUGGAAAGUGUUUCACUUUUGAUUCUCCCUACUUGCGUCUUCCAGCUCCUUUUAUUUUGAAUUUUUGGAAAAUAUGCAAUACCAGUCUUGUCUAUAGUGAUAGAGCAUUUAGCUUGUUUAAUCAUUUUGAGUUAGCACACUUGAUAACUACAACAUCAUACUUUUCUAUUUUUUUUAAAUAUUAAUUUUGUUUUAAUUGACCAAAGUUGGUGCUGCUCUCUAUACAGAAAGAAAAAUAGGUCCUUCUCCUGUUAUAAAUAAUGCUUGAUGCAUGAUUAGGGAAGGCUGAAAAUGGGGUUGGGGGGGUGGGUAUGUAUAUUUACAGUACAGCUGUGAAGCACCACACUGGCAACACAUUAUAAAAACAAGUUUAGCCUUGUUUUAUUUUCCUGUGUGUUCUGGUGGCUAAAGCAUUGGAUGCUAGAUUAUAAUUUCCUUAAUCAAAAUAAACUGGACAGGCUCCAUUUCACAAAAUACAGUGGCAGCUGAUCAGGCAAUUGAUGUAGUAAAUCCACUGGGCCCAAUAUCUUGACCUAGUGUGGUACAAGCCUCUAUAAGUUGUAAAAUGUCAAACUGUUUUCAAUCAAGUAAAUGUUUUUCUUGCAUGUUAUUUCGGGAGAUUUGGAUUUCAACAGUGCAUUAAUCACUAAUUUUGACUAAAGAUAGGAUUCCUUUGAGCUACUUUUUUAAAAACUGUUAAGUUGAUUACAGCACUUGGUAAGCAGUACUUCUGUUGUCCUUUGUACCAGAAUCUGGUUCGAAAAGGAAAUAAGUCACAUCAUUUCUAUAGAUAUGUGCACUAUUCGGCCAGGCCCUAAAUGCUUCACAGCCUAAACUGUCAACUGGCCUGAACUUCAAGGAGAAGCUUCUAUUCUAGUCAGAAUAUGAAAAACCAUGAACUAAAGUUGUACAUAAAGAAUUGAAAAAACGAAUAACACAAAGCAAUAGUUGUGGGGUGUCAAUUUGGCAUGGUAGCAUUGUUCAACAAAAUUGCCAUCUACACAAAGGUGGAAUGAUAAAUGAUAACCAAGACAUAUAUAGCUCUGCUUCAAGACCCUACUAAUGUCUCCGAGCUUUAAUAAUUUGUGUUUGAUUGACACUUGGUAUGCUAACUGGGAUGCUGCACAAGGGGGACAAGAAAUAGGGGAAUAAUGCCAGCAAGUUUGAUCCUUGUCACAUCCUUGUCUUGGACAUUAGCUGCCUUCUUUGCAGACUGUGUAAUUUGUAAGCUGUAUAGUUUUAUUAAGUAUGUUUUACUUAAUCUACCCUAUUUUAUAAGGCAAAGACUUUUGUAAUGAGAAAAGUACAAAAAAAAAGUUUCAUUACACUGGCUUAUUAAGAAUGUUCAGCAUUAUAUACCAUUUGUAGAGUAUUCUUCCUCCAUGGGAACUGGAUUUGAGUUAAACUCUCCUGUUACCCUUAUUGUAUUUAAAUACGGUAAUUGUCCUCAUUUUUAUGGUUUUGCAUAUUCCUAUACUUUAAAAGUAUAGGCUUCUGGUGUAAAAGAGCCAUUGUAAAUGGAAGAAAUGCUUUAUUUUAUGAAGAGUAAUUAUGUCAAACUUGUAAGAAACACUUGGAAUUUUGAGAAGGAGUGUUGUCAUUGUAGUCUCUUUGACUGUUUUAAAGAAAAAAGUCUGUAGACUUUUCAAGUGCUAAACUGGUGGGAGUAGAACAGAUUAUGUGUACUCUUUGUAGGGCAAGGGAGCCCAACAAAUUGUUGUAUGCAAUGUACAGUAUUGUUUGUGCAAAGGACAAUGCAAUGCUGGUAGCUAGUUUAUUUUUAAGGCAGGACAGAAAACAUUGUUUACAUAUGUAUUCCAACCCUUGGCAAUGGCUGACUGCAUGCUCCGUGAAAUCCUUGUUUAAGAAUUCCUUUAGGGAAUUCUCUUCCAUCGUUCAGACUCUCAAGCAGGAUAGAAUGCUGCCACAGUCAAACAUGUGACUUAUUAUUAUUCCUAAAGGGGUUAUGAGUUGGCUGAUAACUUUUGUUGGGAAACGUAGGGUGAAUACUGUCACUAGUGCAGUUUUGCAGGCAUAGUUAUAUGUGGUGCAGACGAUGAGGUGAUCUUUGUCCCUUUAAUUGAGAAAUUUUCAUUAACCAUCUAGCCCUUCCGCAUUUGAUAGAACAUUCUAAAUAGUUACGGUCACCUCAUCAGUGUUUUUUUUCCUCUAACAUUCCAUUUUACAGUUGAUUGACACACCACUUAAUGCAACACACAUCAAACUCUUCCCACAUUCUCUUUAAAAAAGGGUCCUGAUGCCUCCAUUCUCCAAGUAUACUUUUAAAAUUUAUGACAGACAUUAACAUUUUUAAGUCCUGGCAGUUUUGAAACUUCAAUUUUUUACCUGUCAGAUGGAAAAGCAUUUUUUAAAAAUGGAAUGAAAUGUGCUUAAUGCCCAUUACUUUUAUUUUCAAUAAAAUGUAUCACUGAAUUUAUAAUCUCCAUGAUGAACGGUUGAUGGAUAUGUAAAGCAUCACUGAAUAACAUAAUUUUCAAUUAGAGUCCAAAAUAUAGUCAUGUUCAAGGUGAUAAAUAAAAUUUGUUCAAUGAAGUUUCUAACUAAAAUUUUCAUUAGAGAUACCCCAAGUUUCUAAAAACUAAAACUCUAAAAGGUACCAAUAAAUUUUGAGCUUUGUGAAACAAUGGGUGUUAAAACAAUCUGCUGCAGCAAAGAGCAUUGCUGAUCUAGGUGAUUGAUGUCCCCUAACUACUACUGCUUUGAUUUCACUGAUGCAAUGCUCCCAAGGAUAAAGCAGUUGUACUCCCCCUAACAGCUCAACUCACUAUUCAGUCUGCAUAGUAAAGACCUGCAAAACCUGUGUUGUAAGAUAGCAUGCACUAGAUGUCAAGACACCCAAUCAGGAACUGACAAAAUUUAUUUCCCUCCUCAAACCCUGGACAAAUUUGCACUGCUCCACAUCUUUCACCUUUUCCGUUUCUGCAAUAACUCGAGGCAGGGACUGAAACGGAACAAGCUGCCAUUGACAUUGCCAUUAGUCACAGCAUUAGUAAAGCCAACACCAUUCUUAGGUCUACACCACAGAUAUAUUUUUUCUAAGGUUUUAUCUAACCCCCUGCAAAAUGUGCCAGUUGCUUCAGUUAGCCUGAAGGGAAUAUGCAAAUUCCAUCACAAUUUCCAUUUCUUUUUUUCUCUGUUGUGCAGCUCCUUUGCAGCAAUGCGCAAUGACACACGUUAAGCAGCCAGAUUACGUUUUGUAGAAAGCAGUAGAUAUACUGGUAUUGUUGUUUCACAUACACAGCUCAUCUGAACAUCUGUAACUGGGUCUCUGGAAAUCUCUUUGAAAGACAGUAAGUGAAAAGGAAACACAUGAGUUCUCAAGGACAGCUAAAGAGACACCUGACUGCCUGUCAUUGUAAAGGCAUUUUCGUCAGGCUGUGCAAAACUCUGAAUUGCAAGAAAGUUUGUGAAGGUUCUUGUUGAUGUGUUAGUGCACAAAGCAUUUUUGGAAAUUCAGAUUUCCAUCUCUGUUGAUCAGGUUGAGAAGGUCUCAGCCUUGUUUACAUGGUAGGUGAGUGUUAAUUGGGUUCUGUGUGAUGUGGACUUUGCUGAGUCCAGUAUUCAUCCCUGUACAUUUUAACUGAAGUUUUCAGAUUACCUUCAACAAGAUAAUUUUACUCCUAAAAUCCGCUUUUAUGAAUUGUACCCCCAUCUACAUCUUUUUGAUAUUAAAAUUAUUAACUGUUGUUUAGAGUCUUUUAUAUUCUACAAAAAAAAACUUCCCAGUCUUUAAUUGACUCAAACCCUGUACCCAUACCAACGAUAAUAUCAGGAAUACAAUUCCAAAUUCUGGAUCUCUCCAGUUGAAAAGUUCAGUGCUCAGAAUACAAAGCCCAAAAGCUGUUGUUAGGGUGCACCGAGCUCUGCAAAGGAGGAGGUCAGGAGAAUUAGGCAGUAAAAGAAGCACUGCAAUUCACUUAUGCUCCUAUACAACAAUGUACAGUUUAAAAAAAAGGAUUAGGAAGACUGUCAGCUAGGAAGAAAAAAACAUUGAUCUGACAUUGAUCCCAUUGAUCUAAAUAGCCCAGCAAUGCAACCAAUGUCCUCAAAAUUCAAUGAUAAAAAUUUCAUACAAGUCAAAUUGGUUACUUUUUCUGAGAGACUAAUGUCAUGAACAGAAGACAAUGUCACAGCCAAACCUUCUUUGACAGUCAUUUUGCUAAACAUUGAAGAAUGCUGGUGAUAGAAUUGCUCAGCACAAUAAGAGGCUCUUGUACAAACAGCAUAUCAUCUUCACAGUUAUUGAAUUUCUGGGUAAUAUUUGUUUACUCUGUACCACAAGUUUGUCAGAGGAGAUUUUUUUUAAAUUGGAAAGUUUUGAUUACAUUUUACUUGCAAAUUGUAAAUAAUUAGUGCAUUUCCUUUAAAUUGUAUAUUGUAUUUCCGGUAUUCUAGAUCUGUUUGUUCAUUCAAUACAAUCAGAUCAGUGGAAAUGCAUGUUCAAAAAAUUAUUUUUGCACAGAAGCAUACACUCAAAUAUUAAUUACUUCAAUAUUCUGAAGCUUAUUAUUUAGACAUUAUUACAAUUCAGUAGGUACACUAUAAUAAACCUAAGGUACAGUUAUAACAUUUAAAAGACAUUUGGAUAAGUACACGAGUAGGACAGGUUUGGAGGGAUAUGAGCCAAAUGCAGAUAGGUGGGACUAGUUUAGUUUGGGAACAUGGUUGGCAUGGUUGAGCUGAAGGGUCUGCUUCCAUGAUGUAUGACUCUAUGACUAUUGUAUUUUACUGCAAGCCAGUAACCAAAGGAAAUAUGUUUCAAAGCCUUAAUCCAUCUACAGAACCCAAAUGAGGCAGCUCCAUGUAAGCAAGGUUAUGCUUCGCGUGCUUUGAUCCAUCUGCACUGAACUUUACUGUAUGAAAUAACAGGAAAACAGGCAAAAGAUCCAUUGAUGCAGCACAUUUUCUGCAAAUAGCCCAUAGGGAGUAAUCUGUUGAUUAGCAUGACAGUAGCGGCAAAAAAGGAGGAAUAAAUUCAGCUUCCUUUUUUUCUGCAAAUCUGAGCUUUGAUGUUGAUCGUAGUUAUAUAGAGGGCAAUGAUCUGAUAAGCAGUUGCAUUAUUCUCUGCAGUUAUUUCUAGCAAUUUUAACAAGCCAGCAGAAAAGUACCAAAAACAUUUUUAAUAAAUGCAGUGCCUGAUAGUCAACUGCUGGAUUCAAUUUUGCUUUGCAAGACCUGGUUUUCACAGUUUGUCUUUUUUUUAUGUCUUUGUUGCACAGGCUCUAUGACAAAUGUCCUUUGAACAUCACUGUUGUAAUUCCAUAUGUAUUACAUUGCACAUAUUCUGGGAAGAGAAUAUUUCUCUGAGAACGCAUUGAGACUGUGUUAUUUCUGAGGGUUUUUCAUUAUAUUUUAGAAUAUUACGGUAGUUACCACAGUAGUUAACCGCUUGCUUGCUGCACAGACAUACACACACUACACACCAGGACAAACUUGUGGCUCUUUAGUUGCUUGAUGCAAACUUCUGACAAAAUAAAAUCUUUCAUGAUCACAGUUCUACUCCAACAACUAAAAAGAAUCAUUUAUUUUGAUUGUAUUUGUCUUUUGAUUUUUAGCUAAUUAUGUAAAGGGACACUUGUACAAAGACCAGCAUCUUUCCUGCUGCUUUUGUACACAGAUGUACAGUAUAUACGUAACUAAAUCACCACUCGUUUUAAACUGGUGUGAACUCAGCUUGACAUUUGAUUAUAACCAUUGUAUUCAGCCAUUACUGUUAGCAGCUGCUCAUACUACAUACAAUUACUGGAAGUGAAUAUGUUUCCCUAUGCAAAAAAAGUUUAAAAAAAAUAAACAAGCUAUGCUACA